GACAAACGCUGGCGGCGUGCUUAACACAUGCAAGUCGAACGGAAAGGCCCUGCUUUUGUGGGGUGCUCGAGUGGCGAACGGGUGAGUAACACGUGAGUAACCUGCCCUUGACUUUGGGAUAACUUCAGGAAACUGGGGCUAAUACCGGAUAGGAGCUCCUGCUGCAUGGUGGGGGUUGGAAAGUUUCGGCGGUUGGGGAUGGACUCGCGGCUUAUCAGCUUGUUGGUGGGGUAGUGGCUUACCAAGGCUUUGACGGGUAGCCGGCCUGAGAGGGUGACCGGCCACAUUGGGACUGAGAUACGGCCCAGACUCCUACGGGAGGCAGCAGUGGGGAAUAUUGCACAAUGGGCGGAAGCCUGAUGCAGCAACGCCGCGUGCGGGAUGACGGCCUUCGGGUUGUAAACCGCUUUCGCCUGUGACGAAGCGUGAGUGACGGUAAUGGGCAAAGAAGCACCGGCUAACUACGUG
This 468-nucleotide ribosomal RNA is filed under the name uncultured bacterium. RNAcentral's name for it is "partial 16S ribosomal RNA". It matches the Rfam family "Bacterial small subunit ribosomal RNA", at positions 28 to 507 of the family's 1533-position model. The record is from RNAcentral.